GUCUGGCAAUGGCUAUAGAGUAACUAAGCACAAACAAGGGUGAUGACUAUCAAUGAAGAAUGUUCUGAGCCAGGCAGACACCCCAGAAAAUGCAUCUUACAACUGGCUAAAUAGCUUUCUCGAAAAUUAGAAAGCACAUGAGGAUGAAAUUCUAAACCAUUUGGCAUGUCCUAAUUUCUCUUAAUGCCAAUGGUGAUACAUAUGAAACCAUAAAUUGGGACAGAGAUUUUGACAAUUUUUCAGAAUAUUUAAAAUUAGAGCCAGAAUUAGAAAUUUCUGAGUUUAUACUUAUAACAUCUAUACCUCAGCCUGCCUAUUUUAAAAUGAAUUGUGAAAAUAAAAAUGUGCUUUAAUGACAGAUUAAGUAGAAAUACACUUAAAAUCACAAAAGAUUAAUUUAAAUUUGACAUGCAGAAAGACUCCUGACUAAAGUUGGAGUCACUGAAAUAGAUUGGCAUUUGUAGAGAUCACUUCUUUCCUAGAAAAUGACCCUUGAGUAAUAACGUAGAUCUAGCAAGAAUGUUUAAUAUCCUGAUUAGAACAAGCAAGCCAAACACUGAGACAUCCAUGCUUGGAGAGGGAGAAAGGCCCCAUUCGACAUGGCCAAGACAAAAAGGUGGGAUCAUGGGUUAGCUCAAACCCGCCUUAACCAGAGCAAAAAGGAGGAGAGUUUUACAGGGCUAAGGGGCUUGGCAGAAGGAGCUUCGAAGAAACAAACAGGUCACUCCUGAUAAGUCUCUUGGCAGUCUGCAAAUGCUGCUGGAGGCCAGCCAUCAGGUGAUCGCAACCUCCCUGAAGCAUUCUCUUUCUUCUGCAAAACGAACUAACAAAUUCUCAAGACCCAGCUCAUAAAUCCUCAAGACCUGGGUAACUCCUCAAGUUAAACAAGGAAACAGCAAAUUGACAAGAUUCAUAACAAGGUCCAAAGGCAAUCACGUUCUUAUUGAAUAUCUACAGUAACCAUCAGGUACCUGGCUUCACUCUUCACAGCAUUAAAAAAAAAAAAAA
Molecule: long non-coding RNA, 1008 nt
Filed under: Equus asinus (donkey)
Lineage: Eukaryota; Metazoa; Chordata; Mammalia; Perissodactyla; Equidae
Description: lncRNA (ENSEASG00005037725.1)
Source: RNAcentral